CAAACCCCUGUCAUUUGCGAACAAAAUUGCUUCACCUAACACGUGUAUCAUUGAUUGUAGCGAAAGAGGAAGGGACGGCUAACUCUGUGC
Molecule: ribosomal RNA, 90 nt
Filed under: uncultured bacterium
Lineage: Bacteria
Description: partial 16S ribosomal RNA
Source: RNAcentral